AGCGAACGCUGGCGGCAGGCCUAACACAUGCAAGUCGAACGGACCCUUCGGGGUUAGUGGCGGACGGGUGAGUAACACGUGGGAACGUGCCUUUAGGUUCGGAAUAGCUCCUGGAAACGGGUGGUAAUGCCGAAUGUGCCCUUCGGGGGAAAGAUUUAUCGCCUUUAGAGCGGCCCGCGUCUGAUUAGCUAGUUGGUGAGGUAACGGCUCACCAAGGCGACGAUCAGUAGCUGGUCUGAGAGGAUGACCAGCCACACUGGGACUGAGACACGGCCCAGACUCCUACGGGAGGCAGCAGUGGGGAAUCUUGCGCAAUGGGCGAAAGCCUGACGCAGCCAUGCCGCGUGAAUGAUGAAGGUCUUAGGAUUGUAAAGUUCUUUCACCGGGGACGACAAUGACGGCACCCGGAGAAGAAGCCCCGGCUAACUUCGUGCCAGCCGCCGCCGUAA
This 449-nucleotide ribosomal RNA is filed under the name uncultured bacterium. Its description in RNAcentral is "partial 16S ribosomal RNA". It matches the Rfam family "Bacterial small subunit ribosomal RNA", at positions 29 to 523 of the family's 1533-position model. The record is from RNAcentral.